UCCAGAAUAGCUCUUGGAAACGGGUGGUAAUGCUGGAUGCUCCAACUUGACGCAUGUCUUGUUGGGAAAGUGUUUAGUGGCAUGGGAUGGGGUCGCGUCCUAUCAGCUUGUAGGCGGGGUAAUGGCCCACCUAGGCUUCGACGGGUAGCCGGCCUGAGAGGGCGGACGGCCACAUUGGGACUGAGAUACGGCCCAGACUCCUACGGGAGGCAGCAGAC
This 218-nucleotide ribosomal RNA is filed under the name uncultured Gardnerella sp. RNAcentral's name for it is "partial 16S ribosomal RNA". It matches the Rfam family "Bacterial small subunit ribosomal RNA", at positions 137 to 354 of the family's 1533-position model. Lineage: Bacteria; Bacillati; Actinomycetota; Actinomycetes; Bifidobacteriales; Bifidobacteriaceae. The record is from RNAcentral.